RNAcentral lists this long non-coding RNA (1634 nucleotides) under Homo sapiens (human). RNAcentral's name for it is "HSALNT0363245". The record is from RNAcentral. Lineage: Eukaryota; Metazoa; Chordata; Mammalia; Primates; Hominidae.
CGGGUCCAGCGGUCGCGCGCGCCCUGGAGUCCUGUCCUGGUUCUGGCGGCUGAGGGCCGGGUGGCGCAGGCGGCCUCCGGCUGUGCCCAUGGGAACUAAAACCUUCGGUUCUAGAAGAGCCGGGGGAGAGGCUCCGGGAAGACCGAAUUCUUCAGAAAUCGCAGAGAGACCUUGGACCGGAUCCUUCCCUGCAGGGCUGCGUCGGGGAAGCGCCGGCACAAGUAUAUUCAGCGACUUCCUUGGAAGCGCCUACGUUAGAAUACUACAAACUUACAAGCUAGUUGAUCAGUUUACCUCCCACUAGAAAAGACAGUAUGGGAAGGCAGAGGCCGCGUGGCCUGGACCCCCGUCUUUGCUGUCAGGCUUCCAGAGUGAAGCCUCUCCUUCCUGGAAAUUGCCAUCACCAGCGGCCAUAGCACCCCCAUGGGACCUGGGGGAUGGAGUUGGAAGCCCCCUCCGGCAACACUGGCCAGAUUGGAGAGACCAGCAGGGAAGCUCCCUCCUACCCCCAGGGAGGCUGAAGCCAGCUCUCCAUGGGCACGAAACCUGGAACCCAGGACCCUGGGGGGCAGGGCUAUGCUGGACUAGAGAAGACACAGGUGGCCAAAGCUGGACCCAGCCCUCAGGGAACAGAUAACCUGCGUGAGAAACAAAUAAUUGAUUCUGCCCUUUAUCCCUCCCGGGCCAGCACGGAGGGGUUCAGCCAAUGACUGGGAAUUGAAUGAAAAACCAAAGAGAACAGCCAUGAGAUCUGUCUGCUAUGGGUGGGAAAGCAGAUGGGAGAGUGAGAAGGGCUUCAAGGAGAAGGUGAUAUGUGAACAGGGCAUAAAUGGAUGAAUAGGAGUUUGCCAGGCACAGAAAGGGAAGGACAUUCCAGGGGAAGCAGGCAGAGGCCUGGCAAGGCAAAGGCCAGGAGGAUUGCAAGUAAAGUCAUGGUAUGAGCAGAAAACAAGAGAGGUCCAGUUGCCCAUGGCAUAGGAGAGGGGACAGGCCAAGAGGGUAGUGGGUAAGCACUGUUUUCCCUGCCCAGCAUCCAUCUCUCACUCUGGUGACUGUCCCUCAGUUUUCUAGUCUCCAGUGUGACUGGCCCCCAACCCUCAAGCUCUAAAAGUGGGUUUGAGUCCUGUGCCUAGCCAGUCUGAGUCAUGGGAAUGGCUCCAGCAUAUGACAUCAGAGAGCAUCAGCCCAGGAACUUGAUGGGACUGUUAGGGUCACAAAUGUCAAGAUGCCAGCCCAGAGCUGCUGGUGGCCAGCUCUGCCACCCUAAGGGGGGAGCCUGCCUAAGAAUAAGGCCAACAUAGAAGAAAACAGCACCAAGAGAAUGAAUCUCAAUGACAUUGCCUGUGCUCCUGGAUCCAGUCAUGCCUGAAGCAGUUUCUAUUCUACGAGCCAACAAAUUCCAGUUUUGGCUUAAUACAGUUAGGGUUGGGUCUGUCACUUGCCACUGAGAAUGAAGGGCCCAUUGCAGAAUAGCUAAAGGCAGGUGAUCACUCAUGAGAGUUGCCGAGUGCUGUGGGAAAGGCAACGAUGAUCUGUGUGUAGAGGUACAACACCAUCAGAACUGCAUUUUCUUUCAUUUAAAUUACUUUUUGAGGCCGGGUGCGGUGGCUCACGCCUGUAAUCCCAGCACUUUG